RNAcentral lists this ribosomal RNA (498 nucleotides) under uncultured bacterium. RNAcentral's name for it is "partial 16S ribosomal RNA". It matches the Rfam family "Bacterial small subunit ribosomal RNA", at positions 28 to 507 of the family's 1533-position model. The record is from RNAcentral.
GAUGAACGCUGGCGGCGUGCCUAAUACAUGCAAGUCGAGCGAACUUUUGGGAGCUUGCUCCCAAAAGUUAGCGGCGGACGGGUGAGUAACACGUGGGUAACCUGCCUGUUAGACUGGGAUAAAUUCGGGAAACCGGAGCUAAAACCGGAUAACAUUGAAGUACACAUGGCCUUCAAUUAAAAAGUGGGUUUUAGCUUCCACUUACAGAUAGACCCGGGGCGCUUUAGUUAGUUGGUGAGGUAACGGCUCACCAAGGCGACGAUGCGUAGCCGGCCUGAGAGGGUGAUCGGCCACACUGGGACUGCGACACGGCCCAGACUCCUACGGGAGGCAGCAGUAGGGAAUCUUCGGCAAUGGACGAAAGUCUGACGGAGCAACGCCGCGGGAGCGAAGAAGGCCUUCGGGUCGUAAAGCUCUGUUGUUAGAGAAGAACAAGUAUCGUUCGAAUAAGGCGGUACCUUGACGGUACCUAACCAGAAAGCCACGGCUAACUACGUG